This 724-nucleotide ribosomal RNA is filed under the name uncultured marine eukaryote. Its description in RNAcentral is "SSU rRNA". It matches the Rfam family "Eukaryotic small subunit ribosomal RNA", at positions 452 to 1185 of the family's 1831-position model. The record is from RNAcentral.
UGACACAGGGAGGUAGUGACGAGAAAUAACAAUGCUGGGCUCUUGAGUCUAGCAAUUGGAAUGAGAACAAUUUAAAUCCCUUAUCGAGGAUCCAUUGGAGGGCAAGUCUGGUGCCAGCAGCCGCGGUAAUUCCAGCUCCAAUAGCGUAUAUUAAAGUUGUUGCAGUUAAAAAGCUCGUAGUUGGAUUUCGGGCGCGUGCGCAUGGUCCGCCGAAAGGUGUGCACCGUGACUGUGCGCGUCCUCUUUCCGUAGGCCGCGUGUGCCCUUAACUGGGUGUGCGUGGAAUGCGGAUCUUUUACUUUGAGUAAAUUAGAGUGUUCAAAGCAGGCUUUCGCUUGAAUACAUUAGCAUGGAAUAAUGGAAUAGGACUUUGGUUCUAUUUUGUUGGUUUCUAGGACUGAAGUAAUGAUUAAUAGGGAUAGUUGGGGGCAUUAAUAUUUAAUUGUCAGAGGUGAAAUUCUUGGAUUUAUGAAAGAUUAACUUCUGCGAAAGCAUUUGCCAAGGAUGUUUUCAUUAAUCAAGAACGAAAGUUAAGGGAUCGAAGAUGUUUAGAUACCGUCGUAGUCUUAACCAUAAACUAUGCCGACUAGGGAUUGGGGGAUGCUAUUCAUGGCGCCCUCAGCACCUUAUGAGAAAUCAAAGUCUUUGGGUUCCGGGGGGAGUAUGGUCGCAAGGCUGAAACUUAAAGGAAUUGACGGAAGGGCACCACCAGGCGUGGAGCCUG